UAUAUAUAUAGGAGCCGCUUAAGGUUGGGACGCGACGCGGCGCACGCAGCAGCAGCGGCGGCGCUAGGGUGCCAUGGCAGCGUGCUCGCGCGCGCGCUCUAAUGCAAGCCCUUCAUCAUGUUUUGUUAGGCGGGCCCUCUCUUGUUCACCGGCGGCGCGCAUGCACAGGCCGCGUGCGCGCAAUAGGUCGGCGGCUGUCGCGGUUUGUAAAGGGGCCGGCCGGCGAAAAAUAAGGGAGGGCGCAGGGAGAGGGCGCGCGUGUUCGUCGUCUUGGUUUGCGGUUCUGCGUUUCGCUAGCCCUUCUCGAAGGGCUAGGGCGACAGGACAUCGGCGCGCACCCUUUCCCCCGGACGUUGAAAAGGAGCCACGCCGCCGGUCAGGUAGGUAUAUAUAUCGUUUACCUCUCCUCGACCAAGCCCACCUCCUUCCGCUUCGUCCCGCCUCCACCGCCACGGCCGCCGCCGCCGCCCCUCUCCCUCCUCCUCCUCCUAGCCCGGUUCCACCACCACCUGCCCAGGCCCUAUGCCCUCGACCACCUCCUGGCCCUCCGCAAGCCGUACAAGCGCCUCUCGUUCAAGGCCGUCGAGCUGCGGCUGCCCCUGCCGGCCGACAGGCACGCCCUCGACGUCGGGCGGCACCGGCUGUAGCCGCGGAGCGAGCCGGACGGGCGCGUCCCGAGGAGCGGGUUGCGGCUGGUGUAGAUGAGGCUCCGUUACUCGCUCAAGCGAGUACCAGUACCCUUGGUUCUCCCCCACUCGUCCCGUCUCAAGGUCCUCCAGGACAGGCUGUAAGAGGAACCGUACCGCCGGCCCGAGUUCUUCCUGGGCUAGCACUAUGACGCGUAGCUGCCGCUCCUGGAGUCCCUGAAGCACAGGUCGGGUUCCAUACUCGGCCGUCGGCGACGGUAGAAGAGUGUCCAACCCAGACCUCUACGGGGAGAGGCCGUUACGAACGAUCGGCGGCAGGUCGUCGAGCCGCAGCUGGUGCCGUACGGGGGUCGGCGACUGGGAACCCACCAUCUCUUGCACCAUCUCGGCCGUAACGUCGUCGAGAGGUGGCUACUCGAGCUCGUUGGCCGCAGGGCCCUGCAGAAGAAUCUCGUCGACUUCUUCGACGACCCGUCGCAGCGCCUCGUCGAAGUCCUCGCCGUGCAGUAGCAACGCGUGUGGCUCUUGUGGAAGCUGCCCUGGCCACAGUCCUCCGACGACCCUUUGUUCAAGCUCGACCUGUUCGACGACCUAAGACACACCUCCCUGCACGGCCGCCUCGAGUCCUUCUUCCGCGGGUUCCUGUUCCUCGUGGACGCUCAGCGUGAGCUAUUCUACCGGCUACGUCGUUCGAAUGGUGGGGUACCGAGACAACGAGUCCACCUGCGGCAGCACCUGCUCCGCGAGUUCCACCGCCUGCGGCCGCUGCCCUUCCACCAGCUUCUUCGCCUCAAGUUCUUCGACGACUGCCUCCACGAACCCCGGCACUACGACGCCGACUCGCCGCUUGGCUAGAAGAAGAGGUGGUCGUGGCAGCAGGUGCUCGGCGACAGGUCGAGCAGGCGGGACAACGGCAGCGGCCGCCACCGUAGUGGCGGCUCGCUCAUCGUUAUACGUGUACUUUCCAUUUAUCAUACCCUCACCCGUAUUCCGGAGAGGCAUUCGCCACGGACACCAACACGAAAAAUAGACUAGUGCUCGUAAGGACGCAACGAUACCAACUAACCUUGGACUGCCUUACGUCGCAACGUCAAGCAGUUCAUGAGACCAAUUACAUAUUCAAACCUUAUUCCGAUGGUUCGGUAUUUCUGUUUAACAGUUACCCUUUACAAUGACGCACGCUUACGUAACCAACCCUCUCUACGAUGCACGCUUUCGUAAUAGACACAAGACUACAUUCUUACCCUCUUCUUUGUAAGUCGAAAGUAAAGGUUAUUAUU
This 1927-nucleotide ribosomal RNA is filed under the name Triticum aestivum (bread wheat). RNAcentral's name for it is "partial small subunit ribosomal RNA". The record is from RNAcentral. Lineage: Eukaryota; Viridiplantae; Streptophyta; Magnoliopsida; Poales; Poaceae.